AUCCAGGUGAUGAGUCUCAAAUGGGACGAAACGUGCGUAAACUGGAU
This is a non-coding RNA of Schistosoma rodhaini, 47 nucleotides long. The record is from Rfam. Lineage: Eukaryota; Metazoa; Platyhelminthes; Trematoda; Strigeidida; Schistosomatidae.